CAGUAGCCGCGGUAACACGGAGGGUGCAAGCGUUAAUCGGAAUUACUGGGCGUAAAGCGCACGCAGGCGGUCUGACAAGUCAGAUGUGAAAUCCCCGGGCUUAACCUGGGAACUGCAUUUGAAACUGUCAGGCUGGAGUCUUGUAGAGGGGGGUGGAAUUCCAGGUGUAGCGGUGAAAUGCGUAGAGAUCUGGAGGAAUACCGGUGGCGAAGGCGGCCCCCUGGACAAAGACUGACGCUCAGGUGCGAAAGCGUGGGGAGCAAACAGGAUUAGAUACCCCGGUAGUCCCUGUCUCUUAUAC
This 301-nucleotide ribosomal RNA is filed under the name uncultured bacterium. RNAcentral's name for it is "partial 16S ribosomal RNA". It matches the Rfam family "Bacterial small subunit ribosomal RNA", at positions 509 to 807 of the family's 1533-position model. The record is from RNAcentral.